Molecule: ribosomal RNA, 468 nt
Filed under: uncultured bacterium
Lineage: Bacteria
Description: partial 16S ribosomal RNA
Rfam family: Bacterial small subunit ribosomal RNA
Source: RNAcentral
GACGAACGCUGGCGGCGUGCUUAACACAUGCAAGUCGAACGGAAAGGCCCUGCUUUUGUGGGGUGCUCGAGUGGCGAACGGGUGAGUAACACGUGAGUAACCUGCCCUUGACUUUGGGAUAACUUCAGGAAACUGGGGCUAAUACCGGAUAGGAUCUCCUGCUGCAUGGUGGGGGUUGGAAAGUUUCGGCGGUUGGGGAUGGACUCGCGGCUUAUCAGCUUGUUGGUGGGGUAGUGGCUUACCAAGGCUUUGACGGGUAGCCGGCCUGGGAGGGUGGCCGGCCACAUUAGGACUGAGAUACGGCCCAGACUCCUACGGGAGGCAGCAGUGGGGAAUAUUGCACAAUGGGCGGAAGCCUGAUGCAGCAACGCCGCGUGCGGGAUGACGGCCUUCGGGUUGUAAACCGCUUUCGCCUGUGACGAAGCGUGAGUGACGGUAAUGGGUAAAGAAGCACCGGCUAACUACGUG